CGCUAGCUACAGGCUUAACACAUGCAAGUCGAGGGGCAGCGCAGUGUAGCAAUACAUGGGCGGCGACCGGCGCACGGGUGCGUAACGCGUAUCCAACCUUCCCGUUACUCAGGGAUAGCCUUCCGAAAGGGAGAUUAAUACCUGAUGGUGUUCAAAUUCCGCAUGUUAUUUGAACUAAAGAUUUAUCGGUAACGGAUGGGGAUGCGUGACAUUAGGUAGAUGGCGGGGUAACGGCCCACCAUGCCUACGAUGUCUAGGGGUUCUGAGAGGAAGGUCCCCCACACUGGAACUGAGACACGGUCCAGACUCCUACGGGAGGCAGCAGUGAGGAAUAAAAAUCAAUGGCCGGAAGGCUGAACCAGCCAAGUAGCGUGAAGGAUGAAGGUUCUAUGGAUUGUAAACUUCUUUUAUACGGGAAUAAAACCACCUACGUGUAGGUGCUUGUAUGUACCGUAUGAAUAAGCAUCGGCUAACUCCGUGCCAGCAGCCGCGGUAAUACGGAGGAUGCGAGCGUUAUCCGGAUUUAUUGGGUUUAAAGGGAGCGUAGACGGGAGAUUAAGUCAGUUGUGAAAGGCUGCGGCUCAACCGCAGCACUGCAGUUGAUACUGGUUUCCUUGAGUGCGGUUGAGGUAAAAGGAAUUCGUGGUGUAGCGGUGAAAUGCUUAGAUAUCUUAAAGGUCUCCGAUUG
Molecule: ribosomal RNA, 688 nt
Filed under: uncultured Bacteroidota bacterium
Lineage: Bacteria; Pseudomonadati; Bacteroidota
Description: bacterial SSU rRNA
Rfam family: Bacterial small subunit ribosomal RNA
Source: RNAcentral